UAGUCCGCGCUGUAAACGAUGUCAACUAGCUGUUGGAGGACUUGAUCCUUUAGUAGCGCAGCUAACGCGAUAAGUUGACCGCCUGGGGAGUACGGUCGCAAGAUUAAAACUCAAAUGAAUUGACGGGGGCCCGCACAAGCGGUGGAGCGUGUGGUUUAAUUCGAUGCAACGCGAAGAACCUUACCUGGUCUUGACAUCCUGCGAAUAUUUUAGAGAUAGAAUAGUGCCUUCGGGAGCGCAGUGACAGGUGCUGCAUGGCUGUCGUCAGCUCGUGUUGUGAAAUGUUGGGUUAAGUCCCGUAACGAGCGCAACCCUUGUCCUUAUUUGCCAGCACUUCGGGUGGGAACUCUAAGGAAACUGCCGGUGAUAAACCGGAGGAAGGUGGGGACGACGUCAAGUCAUCAUGGCCCUUACGGGAUGGGCUACACACGUGCUACAAUGGCAGUGACAAUGGGUUAAUCCCCAAAAACUGUCUCAGUUCGGAUUGGAGUCUGCAACUCGACUCCA
RNAcentral lists this ribosomal RNA (507 nucleotides) under uncultured bacterium. RNAcentral's name for it is "bacterial SSU rRNA". It matches the Rfam family "Bacterial small subunit ribosomal RNA", at positions 791 to 1320 of the family's 1533-position model. The record is from RNAcentral.